UAUAUUAUUACAGUAAAAACCCUUUUCGCUUAUCUAUUUUUUUAGGGUUAAUUACAUACAACUCCAUGUAAACAUAGUGAAUUACAAAUAUAUCCCUACAUAUUUCAACUUUCUUAUGUUAUUCCUACAAAAGUCGUAAUAUUUUCAAAUUUGCGUAUGUCGUUAGGAUCAGUUAGAAAAUUUUAGUUAACCAUAGGUAAAAUACUUAACCUUGGUUAGUCAAUGAGAUAAAUCGACAUUUUUAUCCCUUUUAUAUUGCACCUUCUUCUCUCAAUUAAAACUUUAGCAAUGGGAACUCUUCUUCUUCCUCUUCUCCUAUCUCUUUCAUGUUAGUUUCGAAUGUAACUAGAAUUUCUCCGUCCCAAUUCAUCCACGAUGCAUGUUGCUUCGCUACGUCGAACACGUGUUGCUUCCCCAUUUAAUUUCCUCUAUAAUUUUUUCUUAUUUUGCCAAAAAAAAAAGUUUAGGAGCAAAGGAGUGAGAGAAGGUUGCAAUAAUGGUGAAUUGGAUUGGAUUUUUAAAGAGGAAGAAGAUAAGGAGGAAAUGACCAUUAAAAAUUUUUUGAGAGGAUAUUUUUGCAUGAUUAUAGCAGUUGAGAUUUUUGGAGGGACAUAUUUAUGGUGGCAAAAUUGACAUUUCACUUAUAUGCUGUUAAAAAAUAAACAAUUCUUUAACAGUAACAAACCAAAGGGACAAAUAUGAAUAUCCCUAGACUUUUGCAAGGAUAUGAGUUAAAAAUUGAAUUUUGUAGAAAUAUAUUUACUAUUCGAUAUAUUUAUAGAAAACUGUAUGCAAUUUUUUUUUUUUAAAUCAACAAUUAUUUUAUAUUUAUAU
RNAcentral lists this long non-coding RNA (834 nucleotides) under Ananas comosus (pineapple). RNAcentral describes it as "long non-coding RNA (ACOM_LNC020097)". Lineage: Eukaryota; Viridiplantae; Streptophyta; Magnoliopsida; Poales; Bromeliaceae. The record is from RNAcentral.